Molecule: long non-coding RNA, 829 nt
Organism: Dermacentor andersoni
Lineage: Eukaryota; Metazoa; Arthropoda; Arachnida; Ixodida; Ixodidae
Source: RefSeq, a predicted model, not a curated record
CGUAGUGCGUCGGGUGGCCAGGAGCAAUAGACGAUGACAAAGACGACACGAUGCGCGAGUUUGGCACGAGCGCGCCAAGCGUCGCAACGAAAAAUGGGAAACAAGCAUCAAUUGGCAAUUACACGGGAUGCAAACGCCGAAGGUGAAGAAGAAAGGAAAGAGGAGAGAGAACGGAACGUUUCUUUUUUUUCUUUUCUUUUACUUUGCAUUUCUCGUUUUCAAAUAAGAAUUUUCUUUGGCUACCGAUUCUUGGCCUAUCACCGUUUGUGGGUGCGAGCGAUGACAGGUUCAGCAUAAUCAUCAUCUACGUCGGCGGCUGGAAGAAGGGAAGGCGGCUGAGAUGCACGGUGGGGCCGUGGCGGCUCUCCUGAACCUGGGCGACGAGACCGUGGGAGAGCGGAUCGCCGGCACCAACGACUUCCACUCGAUCGCUGCUUGUCUCGUGGAGAGCCUGGGACGUCCCGCUAUGACUACUUCCAGACCACAAGGUGACAGUCGAGCCUAUCGUCAUGUAGGCUGCCCGUAACUGGCUACUCAACUCCGACUACUGCCUCAGGUGGUUCCCGCCAUCUUGAACUGGACUGCUCAAAGGCGAUAUCAUCACAGCAUACUGGUGAAUUCGUUAUUUGCUCGUGAUUUUCUCAGCUUUUGUUAUCCCUUGAUAACUUAGUGACGUAUCUGUUGACUCCGUUGCUUAUUAGUGUGUGACGGGCCUUGACCAUCUUUCUGCAUUUGAUAUGUAAUGUUAGCCUAGCGUAACUCCAAGUUUGCGUGGUGUUUUAAAAUGUGUGUCGGUUUCUGUUAUUGGUAAAGUCAGCUUUCGUGUGUU